AGAGUUUGAUCAUGGCUCAGAUUGAACGCUGGCGGAAUGCUUUACACAUGCAAGUCGAACGGCAGCACGGACUUCGGUCUGGUGGCGAGUGGCGAACGGGUGAGUAAUAUAUCGGAACGUAUCCAAUAAUGGGGGAUAACUAAUCGAAAGGUUGGCUAAUACCGCAUACGCCCUACGGGGGAAAGCUAGGGACCUUCGGGCCUGGCGUUAAUGGAGCGGCCGAUAUCUGAUUAGCUAGUUGGUGAGGUAAAGGCUCACCAAGGCGACGAUCAGUAGCUGGUCUGAGAGGACGACCAGCCACACUGGAACUGAGACACGGUCCAGACUCCUACGGGAGGCAGCAGUGGGGAAUUUUGGACAAUGGGCGAAAGCCUGAUCCAGCCAUUCCGCGUGAGUGAAGAAGGCCUUCGGGUUGUAAAGCUCUUUCGCAAGGGAAGAAAGAUUACUCUCUAACAUAGAGUAAUUAUGACGGUACCUUGAUAAGAAGCACCGGCUAACUACGUGCCAGCAGCCGCGGUAAUACGUAGGGUGCGAGCGUUAAUCGGAAUUACUGGGCGUAAAGCGUGCGCAGGCGGUUUUGUAAGUCAGAUGUGAAAUCCCCGAGCUCAACUUGGGAACUGCGUUUGAAACUACAAGACUAGAAUAUGUCAGAGGGGGGUAGAAUUCCACGUGUAGCAGUGAAAUGCGUAGAGAUGUGGAGGAAUACCAAUGGCGAAGGCAGCCCCCUGGGAUAAUAUUGACGCUCAUGCACGAAAGCGUGGGGAGCAAACAGGAUUAGAUACCCUGGUAGUCC
This 793-nucleotide ribosomal RNA is filed under the name uncultured bacterium. Its description in RNAcentral is "bacterial SSU rRNA". It matches the Rfam family "Bacterial small subunit ribosomal RNA", at positions 8 to 796 of the family's 1533-position model. The record is from RNAcentral.